RNAcentral lists this ribosomal RNA (906 nucleotides) under Salmonella enterica. Its description in RNAcentral is "partial 23S ribosomal RNA". It matches the Rfam family "Bacterial large subunit ribosomal RNA", at positions 711 to 1616 of the family's 2925-position model. RNAcentral also lists the same sequence under 3 other names. Lineage: Bacteria; Pseudomonadati; Pseudomonadota; Gammaproteobacteria; Enterobacterales; Enterobacteriaceae. The record is from RNAcentral.
AGACCCGAAACCCGGUGAUCUAGCCAUGGGCAGGUUGAAGGUUGGGUAACACUAACUGGAGGACCGAACCGACUAAUGUUGAAAAAUUAGCGGAUGACCUGUGGCUGGGGGUGAAAGGCCAAUCAAACCGGGAGAUAGCUGGUUCUCCCCGAAAGCUAUUUAGGUAGCGCCUCGUGAAUUCAUCUCCGGGGGUAGAGCACUGUUUCGGCUAGGGGGCCAUCCCGGCUUACCAACCCGAUGCAAACUGCGAAUACCGGAGAAUGUUAUCACGGGAGACACACGGCGGGUGCUAACGUCCGUCGUGAAGAGGGAAACAACCCAGACCGCCAGCUAAGGUCCCAAAGUCAUGGUUAAGUGGGAAACGAUGUGGGAAGGCCCAGACAGCCAGGAUGUUGGCUUAGAAGCAGCCAUCAUUUAAAGAAAGCGUAAUAGCUCACUGGUCGAGUCGGCCUGCGCGGAAGAUGUAACGGGGCUAAACCAUGCACCGAAGCUGCGGCAGCGACACUGUGUGUUGUUGGGUAGGGGAGCGUUCUGUAAGCCUGUGAAGGUGUGUCGUGAGGCAUGCUGGAGGUAUCAGAAGUGCGAAUGCUGACAUAAGUAACGAUAAAGCGGGUGAAAAGCCCGCUCGCCGGAAGACCAAGGGUUCCUGUCCAACGUUAAUCGGGGCAGGGUGAGUCGACCCCUAAGGCGAGGCCGAAAGGCGUAGUCGAUGGGAAACGGGUUAAUAUUCCCGUACUUGGUGUUACUGCGAAGGGGGGACGGAGAAGGCUAUGUUGGCCGGGCGACGGUUGUCCCGGUUUAAGCGUGUAGGUGUGUGUUCCAGGUAAAUCCGGUUCACUUUAACACUGAGGCGUGACGACGAGGCACUACGGUGCUGAAGCAACAAAUGCCCUGCUUCCAGGAAAA